UAUCGUGUAUCUGUCUGGGCCUUGUCACUGAUUAAAAAAAAAAAAACACGGAGGUGCGAAAAACGUGAAACGGAAAAAGUUUACAAUUGAGACGUCUGGGGGAAACGGAACGCCGAUGUGCUGCAUUGGACGAGUCAUAAGUCGGGCUGUCUCAUUCCCUAUGCCAUCGCUGUGCUGCUACAAUUCCGGACAAAGCAGUAUGCCGCCAUGUUCUUUCGCUUCCCCAAAGACGACAGAUGACGCUUUCACCUGGUGGUUAGCAGAUGCAGAAGCAAAUCCCAGCACGUCGGCUCCCAGAGGCCGCGGGCACCGCACGAUCUCCGAGUUCCAUGGCGACGAGUUGCGCUGGUUCUCAACGGGCUAAAUUCUGCGUCAUAUCCGGAACGUUCAUUUUCUUUCCUUUUCUUUUGCGAGCUUUAGGGGCGAAUCCAUCAGCAUCUCAAGCAAAAACGUUGCACCCGAGGCUGCUACGUAUAUACACUACCUGAACCUAGAACGUGGUCCAAAAUGUCGCUGCAGUUGACCUUUAACAACACGGGGGAUCUUAGAUUUUAAAAAAAGAUGUUUCCGCGGAAUCGACGUGCCAACUUUUUGUUCUUCCUUUCUCUGUUUGGUAUGGGCUUCACCGCGGAGUCUCAUGUGACGCCAUACAAGAAGUCGAUUUUCAUGAUUUCGUAUCCCUUUUGAAAAAAAAAAGAAAAAGGAAAUGAAAUAAAGAAAAACGACGAACCGAGCAAAGAACGGUACAUGUAUACCGAGCCAGACGAAGCGCUGUCUCAGUCUUCACGUCCCGCUCUUCUUGCUGUUGCUCUUUCUUUUUUUAGAAAUGUACCAACUGACCCAAGUUAGCGCCUAUUAGUAUUACUCAACUCGAAGAGAC
Dermacentor albipictus is the source of this 880-nucleotide long non-coding RNA. RefSeq lists it as uncharacterized. NCBI's taxonomy places the organism in Eukaryota, Metazoa, Arthropoda, Arachnida, Ixodida, Ixodidae. The record is from RefSeq and is a predicted model, not a curated record.